GAUCCUGGCUCAGGAUGAACGCUAGCGACAGGCUUAACACAUGCAAGUCGAGGGGCAGCACGGCGUAGUAAUACGCUGGUGGCGACCGGCGCACGGGUGAGUAACACGUGUGCAACCAACCCCGUACCGGGAGAUAACCCGCGGAAACGUGGACUAACAUCCCAUGACACUCGAGAGCCGCAUGGCUAUCGAUUUAAAACCCCGGUGGUACGGGACGGGCACGCGCGACAUUAGGUAGUUGGCGGGGUAACGGCCC
Molecule: ribosomal RNA, 256 nt
Filed under: uncultured bacterium
Lineage: Bacteria
Description: partial 16S ribosomal RNA
Rfam family: Bacterial small subunit ribosomal RNA
Source: RNAcentral